GAUGAAGAACGUAGUGAAAUGCGAUAAGUAGUGUGAAUUGCAGAAUUCAGUGAAUCAUCGAAUCUUUGAACGCACAUUGCGCCCGCCAGCAUUCUGGCGGGCAUGCCUGUUCGAGCGUCAUUUCAACCCUCGACUUCCCUUUGGGGAAAUCGGCGUUGGGGACCGGCUGUAUACCGCCGGCCCCGAAAUGAAGUGGCGGCCCGUCCGCGGCGACCUCUGCGUAGUAAUCCAACUCGCACCGGAACCCCGACGUGGCCACGCCGUAAAACCCCCGACUUCUGAACGUUGACCUCGGAUCAGGUAGGAAUACCCGCUGAACUUAAGCAUAUCAAUAAGCGGAGGA
RNAcentral lists this unclassified non-coding RNA (343 nucleotides) under soil metagenome. RNAcentral describes it as "partial contains 5.8S ribosomal RNA, internal transcribed spacer 2, and large subunit ribosomal RNA". The stretch from base 1 to 120 matches the Rfam family "5.8S ribosomal RNA", at positions 35 to 154 of the family's 154-position model. The record is from RNAcentral.